AUCGCUUCUCGGCCUUGGCUAAGAUCAAGUGUAGUAUCUGUUCUUAUCAGUUUAAUAUCUGAUACGUCCUCUAUCUGGAGGACAAUAUAUUAAAUGGAUUUUUUUGACUCUAGGAGGGAAUAGAGCUGCUCCGUCCACCCACGCAUCGACCCAGCAUGCACUCUGAACGGUAUUUCCUCC
This 180-nucleotide small nuclear RNA is filed under the name Sarcophilus harrisii (Tasmanian devil). RNAcentral's name for it is "U2 spliceosomal RNA (ENSSHAG00000020988.1)". It matches the Rfam family "U2 spliceosomal RNA". Rfam says of the family: U2 is a small nuclear RNA (snRNA) component of the spliceosome (involved in pre-mRNA splicing). Complementary binding between U2 snRNA (in an area lying towards the 5' end but 3' to hairpin I) and the branchpoint sequence (BPS) of the intron results the bulging out of an unpaired adenosine, on the BPS, which initiates a nucleophilic attack at the intronic 5' splice site, thus starting the first of two transesterification reactions that mediate splicing. The record is from Rfam by way of RNAcentral. Lineage: Eukaryota; Metazoa; Chordata; Mammalia; Dasyuromorphia; Dasyuridae.